Molecule: ribosomal RNA, 253 nt
Filed under: uncultured bacterium
Lineage: Bacteria
Description: partial 16S ribosomal RNA
Rfam family: Bacterial small subunit ribosomal RNA
Source: RNAcentral
UACGAAGGUCCCAAGCGUUAUCCGGAUUUAUUGGGUUUAAAGGGUGCGUAGGCGGGUUAUUAAGUCAGUGGUGAAAGCCUUCAGCUUAACUGAAGAAUUGCCAUUGAUACUGAUGAUCUUGAGUAUGAUUGAGGUGGGCGGAAUGUGUCAUGUAGCGGUGAAAUGCUUAGAUAUGACACAGAACACCAAUUGCGAAGGCAGCUCACUAAGCCAUAACUGACGCUGAUGCACGAAAGCGUGGGGAGCAAACAGG